Molecule: ribosomal RNA, 560 nt
Filed under: uncultured bacterium
Lineage: Bacteria
Description: bacterial SSU rRNA
Rfam family: Bacterial small subunit ribosomal RNA
Source: RNAcentral
UAGGGGUUCUGAGAGGAAGGUCCCCCACACUGGUACUGAGACACGGACCAGACUCCUACGGGAGGCAGCAGUGAGGAAUAUUGGUCAAUGGGCGGGAGCCUGAACCAGCCAAGUCGCGUGAGGGAAGACGGUCCUAUGGAUUGUAAACCUCUUUUGCCGGGGAGCAACGGGGUCCUUGCGAGGGCCUAAUGAGAGUACCCGGAGAAAAAGCAUCGGCUAACUCCGUGCCAGCAGCCGCGGUAAUACGGAGGAUGCGAGCGUUAUCCGGAUUUAUUGGGUUUAAAGGGUGCGUAGGCGGGCUGUUAAGUCAGCGGUCAAAUGUCGGGGCUCAACCCCGGCCUGCCGUUGAAACUGGUGGCCUCGAGUGGGCGAGAAGUAUGCGGAAUGCGUGGUGUAGCGGUGAAAUGCAUAGAUAUCACGCAGAACUCCGAUUGCGAAGGCAGCAUACCGGCGCCCGACUGACGCUGAGGCACGAAAGCGUGGGUAUCGAACAGGAUUAGAUACCCUGGUAGUCCACGCAGUAAACGAUGAAUGCUAGCUGUCCGGGGCUUCGGUCCUGG